UCAUCCACACUGGGACUGCGACACGGCCCAGACUCCUACGGGAAGCAGCAGUGGGGAAUUUUGCGCAAUGGGCGCAAGCCUGACGCAGCAACGCCGCGUGCAUGACGACGCCUUUCGAGGUGUAAAUGUGCUGUCGACCGGGACGAAUGGGCGAGGGUGAACAGCUUUCGCGCAUGACGGUACCGGUGGAGUGAAGCCCCGGCUAACUCCGUGCCAGCAUGCCGCUGUAAUGACGGAGGGGGCGAGCGUUGUUCGGAAUUACUGGGCGUAAAGCGCGCGUAUGCAGGUGCAGCAAGUGGUAGCGUGAAAGCCCUCGGGUUAACCGGGGACGGGCGUGCCAAACUGUUGGACUGGAGUGCCGGAGGGGGAUGCGGAAUUCCUGGUGGAGCGGUGAACUGCGUAGAGAUCAGGAAGAACGUCGGUGGCGAACGCGGCCUCCUGGACGGACACUGACGCUGAGGUGCGACAGCGUGGGCGAGCGAACGGGAUUUAAUACCCCGUGUAGUCGCCGCGUUAAACAAUGGGACUAACUGUAGGGCUUGUGAUAAUGCCCGUGCCGGAGCUAACGCAGUAAGUACCCCGCCUGGGGACGUACGGUCGCAAGGCUGAAACUCAAAUGGAACUUGACGGGGGCCCGCACAAGCAGGUCGGAGCAUGUGAGCCCAAUUCGACGCAACGCGCAGAACCUUACCCAGGUUUGACAUGCACCGGCACAGCGAGGAGAGUAGGUGGCACUGUUUCGGGACGGUGCACAGGUGCUGCAUGGCUGUCGUCAGCUCGUGUCGUGAGAUGUUGGGUUAAGUCUAGCAACGUGCGCAACCACUGCCCGUAGUUGCCAACAGGUGAUGCUGGGGACUCUAUGGGGAUUAUCGGUG
This 875-nucleotide ribosomal RNA is filed under the name uncultured organism. Its description in RNAcentral is "bacterial SSU rRNA". It matches the Rfam family "Bacterial small subunit ribosomal RNA", at positions 304 to 1157 of the family's 1533-position model. The record is from RNAcentral.